UACGUAGGGUGCAAGCGUUGUCCGGAAUUAUUGGGCGUAAAGAGCUCGUAGGCGGUCUGUCGCGUCGGUCGUGAAAACUUGGGGCUUAACCCUGAGCUUGCAGUGGGUACGGGCAGACUAGAGUGCGGUAGGGGAGACUGGAAUUCCUGGUGUAGCGGUGAAAUGCGCAGAUAUCAGGAGGAACACCGGUGGCGAAGGCGGGUCUCUGGGCCGUAACUGACGCUGAGGAGCGAAAGCAUGGGGAGCGAACAGG
RNAcentral lists this ribosomal RNA (253 nucleotides) under uncultured bacterium. Its description in RNAcentral is "partial 16S ribosomal RNA". It matches the Rfam family "Bacterial small subunit ribosomal RNA", at positions 524 to 776 of the family's 1533-position model. The record is from RNAcentral.